This 113-nucleotide ribosomal RNA is filed under the name Ochotona princeps (American pika). The record is from RNAcentral. Lineage: Eukaryota; Metazoa; Chordata; Mammalia; Lagomorpha; Ochotonidae.
UCUGUGACCAUAGCACCCUUAAUGCUCCUGGUGUCUUCAGAUCUUGGAGGCUAAGCAGGGUCUGGCCUGGCUGAUACUUUGAUGGGAGAUGUAAAUGGACUGAAUCCUCAGAG